GAUGAACGCUGGCGGCGUGCCUAAUACAUGCAAGUCGAGCGAACGGACGAGAAGCUUGCUUCUCUGAUGUUAGCGGCGGACGGGUGAGUAACGCGUGGAUAACCUACCUAUAAGACUGGGAUAACUUCGGGAAACCGGAGCUAAUACCGGAUAAUAUUUUGAACCGCAUGGUUCAAAAGUAAAAGACGGUCUUGCUGUCACUUAUAGAUGGAUCCGCGCUGCAUUAGCUAGUUGGUAAGGUAACGGCUUACCAAGGCAACGAUGCAUAGCCGACCUGAGAGGGUGAUCGGCCACACUGGAACUGAGACACGGUCCAGACUCCUACGGGAGGCAGCAGUAGGGAAUCUUCCGCAAUGGGCGAAAGCCUGACGGAGCAACGCCGCGUGAGUGAUGAAGGUCUUCGGAUCGUAAAACUCUGUUAUUAGGGAAGAACAUAUGUGUAAGUAACUGUGCACAUCUUGACGGUACCUAAUCAGAAAGCCACGGCUAACUACGUG
This 497-nucleotide ribosomal RNA is filed under the name uncultured bacterium. RNAcentral describes it as "partial 16S ribosomal RNA". It matches the Rfam family "Bacterial small subunit ribosomal RNA", at positions 28 to 507 of the family's 1533-position model. The record is from RNAcentral.